GGUGCUAUGGCACAAUGGUUAGCGCAUUCGGCUGUUAACCGAAAGGUUGUAAGUUCGACCCUUACUAGCACCG
Molecule: transfer RNA, 73 nt
Filed under: Drechslerella stenobrocha 248
Lineage: Eukaryota; Fungi; Ascomycota; Orbiliomycetes; Orbiliales; Orbiliaceae
Description: tRNA-Asn (GTT) (tRNA-Asn-GTT-1-1)
Rfam family: tRNA
About the family: Transfer RNA (tRNA) molecules are approximately 80 nucleotides in length. Their secondary structure includes four short double-helical elements and three loops (D, anti-codon, and T loops).
Source: RNAcentral